RNAcentral lists this ribosomal RNA (278 nucleotides) under uncultured bacterium. Its description in RNAcentral is "partial 16S ribosomal RNA". It matches the Rfam family "Bacterial small subunit ribosomal RNA", at positions 506 to 784 of the family's 1533-position model. The record is from RNAcentral.
UGCCAGCCGCCGCGGUAAUACGGAGGGGGUUAGCGUUGUUCGGAAUUACUGGGCGUAAAGCGCGCGUAGGCGGAUUGGAAAGUUGGAGGUGAAAGCCCCGAGCUCAACUUGGAACUGCCUUUGAUACUGUUUAUCUAGAGUCCGAGAGAGGUUAGUGGAAUUCCCAGUGUAGAGGUGAAAUUCGUAGAUAUUGGGAAGAACACCAGUGGCGAAGGCGGCUAACUGGCUCGGUACUGACGCUGAGAUGCGAAAGCGUGGGGAGCAAACAGGAUUAGAUA